Molecule: long non-coding RNA, 2741 nt
Filed under: Sus scrofa (pig)
Lineage: Eukaryota; Metazoa; Chordata; Mammalia; Artiodactyla; Suidae
Description: lncRNA (ENSSSCG00040029800.1)
Source: RNAcentral
UUUUUUCUUUUCUUCUACCCAGUUAUGUAGAGGGUUUCUUGCCCUUUUUGGAGGUUUAAGUUCUUCUGCCAGCAUUCAGUAAAUGUUCUGUGUGAAUCAUUCUAAGUGUAGUCGGUUGUUUUAGUUUUUGUUUUUUAUCUUUUUAGGGGCACACUUGUGGCACACGGAGGUUGCCAUGCUAGGGGUCAAAUCAGAGCUGUAGCCACUGGCCUAUACCACAGCCACAGCAAUGUGGGACACGAGCCAUGUCUGUGACCUACACCAUAGCUCACAGCAAUGCCAGAUCCUUAACCCACUGAGCGAGGCCAGGGAUCAAACCUACGUCCUCAUGGAUGCUAGUCAGAUUCGUUUCCGCUGAGCGAUGUACCUCCUCUCCACGUAGUUAAGUUUUUUUGAUGUUUGUGGGAGAAGGUGAGUGCAAUAUCUUACUCCUUGCCAUCUUAAUCCUUCUCCUAUAUUCUUUUUCUCAUACUAUCUUCUGUCAUGGUCACCCCAAGAUACUGGAGGUAGUUCCUUAUGCUACACAGCAGGAUCUCAUUGCUUAUCCAUUCUAAAUGUAACAAUUUGCAUCUACUGACCACAAACUCCCCAUCCAUCCCACUCCCUCCCCCUCCCUCUUGGCAACCACAAAUCUGCUCUCCAUGCCCAUGUUCUGUUUCUGUUUUGUAGAUAGGAUCACUUUUGCGGUAAUAUUAAGUUCCACAUGUAGGUGACAUCAUAUGGUAUUUACAUUUCUUUUUGACUUACUUCACUUUGCAUGAGAAUCUGUAGUUGUAUUCAUGUUUCUAUAAAUGGCAUGAUUUUGGCAAUUUAAGGCUAUUAUUCCAUUGUAUAUAUGGACCACAUCUUCUUAAUCCAGUCAUCUGUUGAUGGACAUUUAUGUCGUUUUCAUGUCAUGGCUAUUGUUUUAUUUGUUUAUUUAUUUAUUUAUUGCUUUAUAGGGCCUCAUCCAUAGCAUGUGGAAGUUCCCAGGCUAGGAGUCUAAUUGGAGCCACAGCUGCUGGCCUACACCACAGCUCACCACAAUGCCAGAUCCUUAACCUACUGAACAGGCCCAGGGAUCAAUCCCGCACCCUCAUGUUUCCUAGUCUGGUUCGUUAACCACUGAGCCAUGAGGGAACUCCUGUCUUUUCAUUGUGUCUAGUUUUCUGUGUGUCCACCUUUUUGCAGGCUACAGGAUUGUAGUCUUACUUCUGGUGUCUGCCUCCUUGUGGGCAAAGUCCAUAGAGGGGCUUGUGGGCUGGUUUUGUGAUGGGAGGGACUAGUGCCUGCACACAGGUUGGUGGAACUUUGUCUUGUUCCUUUGGCAGGUGAGUUUUGUCACUGGGUUUGAUUAGAGGUGGCUGUGUGCCUGGGAGGACUUUAGGCAGCCUGUUUGCUGAUGUUUGGGCCUUGUUCACAGCCUGUUUGCUGUUGCGCCUAGGGAUUCUCAGCCAUGAUUUGGCUGAAAAAUAUGUGGGGCAGAUUUUUCUAAAAUGGCAGCCUCCAGAAGAGCUCAUGCUGAUUAUAAUUCCCUAGGACUUCUGCCUCCAAAGUGCCGCCCCCACAGCAAGCUAGAGUCACCACUCCUUUCCUGGCAGACCGUCCAAGACCCACAAGUAGGUCUGACCCAGAUUCUUAUCAAGUGACUGCUUUGCCCUGGGACCCAGUGCACAUGAAACCCUGUGUGCGCCUUCCAAGAAUGGAGUAUCUGUUUCCCCCAGGCCCACUGGACUUCCAUACCAAAUGCUCGGGGGGCGGGGGGACUCCUCCUUCCAAUGCCAGUCCCCCAGGCUUUUUUAGGUUCAACCUCAUUGUGGUAUUUUGGCUUUGUGAAUCUAGAUGUCCUUUUUCUUUCCUAGAUUUGUGGGAAAGUCAGCCAUUAAUUCUUUCAAAAACCCUUUUCCUUUCUCUUCUUCUGGAACUUCCACUGUAUUGUAUACUGUUAUUCCUGAUAGUGCCCUAGAAUUCCUGUAGGUAUCAUGGACUCUUUGUCAUUCCUUUUGACGUUUGCUCCUCUGAGUAAUUCAAAUCACCUGUCCUCAAGUCCACAGUUACUUUCUCUGCUUGUGCAAGUCUGCUUUGGAAGCUCCUUAUGGAAUUCAUUAGUGCAGUCAUUGCAUUCUUUGCUCUAGAAUGUAUGGUUGGAUUCAUUUUGAUGGUUUCUAAGUCUUUUGAACUUAUUCCAAUCACGUAUUGCUUUAAUUGUUCUAGUUCUCCCUCUGAAAUGUCUUUUCACUCAAUUAGGUUUUUUAAGAGCUUCCAUGCCUGCCCGCUUGCACCUUUCACAAGUGUCCUAUCUUAAGUCUAUUUCUUGCCUAUCAUUUUGUCUCUAGCUGAAUUCCUUCUGUGAGGAGACAUGAAGAACCUGAACCUCAGUGAGUCCAGACACAGGAUAGUGGUGUUCAAUUCACUGUGCAUCUGGAGACGGGAUUAAGAUGGUGGAAUAGAAGGACUGGAGCUCAACUUCUCUCAUAAAAACAACAAAAUUCACAACUAAAGACUGAGCACCCUUCACCCAAAUAGACCGUAAACCUUAAAAAAGAUAUCUUACUCCAGAAGAAAAAGAGGAGGACACAUCAAGAGGCAGCAGGGGCGAUUUAGCUAUAUAAACAACCCCAUACGUCCUGGGUGGGAAGCUCCACAGACUGGAAACUAACUGGUUCACAGAGACUCACCUAAAGGAGUGAGAGUUCUGAGCCACACAUCAAACUCUCACGUGUGGGGAUCUGGCAUGGGGAGAAAGAGCCUCAGGGCAUCUG